RNAcentral lists this transfer RNA (76 nucleotides) under bacterium. Its description in RNAcentral is "tRNA-Thr". It matches the Rfam family "tRNA". From Rfam's summary of the family: Transfer RNA (tRNA) molecules are approximately 80 nucleotides in length. Their secondary structure includes four short double-helical elements and three loops (D, anti-codon, and T loops). The record is from RNAcentral. RNAcentral also lists the same sequence under 2 other names.
GCCACCCUAGCUCAGUCGGUAGAGCAGCUGAUUCGUAAUCAGCAGGUCGUCGGUUCGAAUCCGACGGGUGGCUCCA